AUCGUUACACUCCCCUUUUUAAUAAAAAGGCACUUUCAUAAAGUGUCUUUUUCAACAAACUCAUAAGGAAUGUCGUAUUAAAUUUGGUUCCCAUUUUCCAAUGAUGAAAAUUUGCUCUUCACCUUUUACCUUUCAAAUCUUAGGAGUUAGGAAUUUAGUGGCUUCUUAUGAAUAGACCUUUUGUGUUGCCAUUGGUUGCGUAAAAUUUUUGUAUUUACAUGACGAUCUGUCUUCUGUUUACAUGAUUAUAUACAUUUUACACAUGAGCUCCUUGAUGAUUUGAGUUUUUCAAUAGUGGAAAUUGCAAUGUUAAUAGAAUAGACAAAGACACGAAAAUGAAGCCCGGAAAUAGCUUUAAUUCAUACGAAGAAUUAGAACAUGCCAUUCGCAAAUAUGAAAUUGAAAACUUCGUUUUACUCUCUAAAAGAGAUUCCAGAACGAUUGCGAGUGCUAGAACAAGCAAGAAAAUUAACCCUGAGUUAAAAUAUCAAGAGUUAAAGUUCACCUGCAUACAUGGUGGUAAAAACUUCAAAUCUAAAGGGACUGGUAAACGAGAAAGAAGAACAUUUCAACAAAACUGUCCGAUGAUGAUGCGAUUCAGAGUUUCAACAAAUGGCAAAAGCCUAGAAUUAAAGCAAAUGACUGAAGUCCACAAUCACGAAGUAAACCCGAUAUGGUUCAAACAUUACAACCGACAAAGAAGACUCGAUCCAGAAGUUGAAACUGAGAUCUUAGACCAAUUUAAACUCAAUUGCAAUAAACGAAAAAUACAAGUGGAAAUGACUAAAAGGACUGGAAAAAUAAUAACCUUACGAGACCUAACUAAUAUCAAAGCAAAGUUAAGAAACAAAAAGAAAGAUCCUGUAGAAAAAUUACCAACAGAAAGCAAUGCAUCGACAACACAGCCAUUUGAAGAGAAGCGAAAACAACUUUUUUCAAUAACUAAUGAACUGGCUGAAUUAGGAGCGCUGCAUUCAAACGACAUAUUCCAAUUAAGAAAACAAAAUCUCCAAACUCUACUACAAAUGUGGAAGAAAGGAAUCGAAGUUAAAAUAAGCCCCAUUCAAGAACUGGGAGAGCUCUGCGUUCAAACGAUAUGUUCUAAUGAAGAAAAUAAAAGUUGAAAUUCUAAUAAGCGUUAGGAAGAAAGUAAAUUGAAGUGAAAUAAUUAUCCUUUAAGAAGUGAAACUGAAAAUGAAAGAGAUUAUUACAGUGUAAAAAUAAAUCUCUAAUCAACGCAAAGCAGUUUCUUUUAAUGCGUAAGAACAUUUAAAACCAAAAAAUUAAAAUGUACAAGCUCGUAACAAGCGGAUAAUUAAUUUAAUUGUUUACGCCGUUUCCUAUUUUGUAUAAAAUAUAUUGGAUCAAAUCUA
Belonocnema kinseyi is the source of this 1373-nucleotide RNA transcript. RefSeq lists it as uncharacterized. The transcript is spliced from 6 exons. Lineage: Eukaryota; Metazoa; Arthropoda; Insecta; Hymenoptera; Cynipidae. The record is from RefSeq and is a predicted model, not a curated record.